AUUUUUUAUGAUAAAGUGGAGUGUAAUAAUAAAUAUUAAUAGUGGGCAAUCCAUAAAUUUUGAGAAAUUUCUGAUUUACAAUCUUGAGGUUUGAGACAAAAUUCAUCAUAACUUGAAGACUAUUUGUUUAUUCUGGAAAACAGAGCUUUUAAGAGUACUAUUUUAAUAUGGGUUAUAUUAAGAAAUUAAUCAGAUGGUUUGGUGAUAUUAAACACUUAUGGCAAAUAAUUUUUUUUUCUGCUUGUAUAUCCUUCUCUGUCCAAUCAUCCAGCCAGCUGGACAUUUUUCAUGAUUUUUUUACUUGGAUGAAUGAACUCAGCCACUUUGUCCAGCUUUUUCGUGCAUUUUUUUCUGAACACUUCAUGGCACUGUGAGCCCUACUACAAUACCAACUAAAAUAUAGUUGCUCCCAUUCCAUUGACGUCUGGUGAAUGUGCUCACAGAAAUAGUGAGUUUUUUAUGGUUUUUAAA
RNAcentral lists this long non-coding RNA (471 nucleotides) under Androctonus crassicauda. Lineage: Eukaryota; Metazoa; Arthropoda; Arachnida; Scorpiones; Buthidae. The record is from RNAcentral.